RNAcentral lists this ribosomal RNA (375 nucleotides) under uncultured bacterium. RNAcentral's name for it is "bacterial SSU rRNA". It matches the Rfam family "Bacterial small subunit ribosomal RNA", at positions 523 to 898 of the family's 1533-position model. The record is from RNAcentral.
AUACGAAGGGGGCUAGCGUUGCUCGGAAUUACUGGGCGUAAAGGGAGCGUAGGCGGACAUUUAAGUCAGGGGUGAAAUCCCGGGGCUCAACCUCGGAAUUGCCUUUGAUACUGGGUGUCUUGAGUAUGAGAGAGGUAUGUGGAACUCCGAGUGUAGAGGUGAAAUUCGUAGAUAUUCGGAAGAACACCAGUGGCGAAGGCGACAUACUGGCUCAUUACUGACGCUGAGGCUCGAAAGCGUGGGGAGCAAACAGGAUUAGAUACCCUGGUAGUCCACGCCGUAAACGAUGAUUGCUAGUUGUCGGGAUGCAUGCAUUUCGGUGACGCAGCUAACGCAUUAAGCAAUCCGCCUGGGGAGUACGGUCGCAAGAUUAAA